This 216-nucleotide ribosomal RNA is filed under the name Glomeromycotina sp. RNAcentral describes it as "partial small subunit ribosomal RNA". The stretch from base 40 to 216 matches the Rfam family "Eukaryotic small subunit ribosomal RNA", at positions 686 to 864 of the family's 1831-position model. Lineage: Eukaryota; Fungi; Glomeromycota. The record is from RNAcentral.
GGGUCAGGAGGUUGGUCGUGCCACCGGUACGUACUGGUCUCACUGAUUCCUCCUUCCUGAAGAACCGUAAUGCCAUUAAUUUGGCGUUGCGGGGAAACAGGACUGUUACUUUGAAAAAAUUAGAGUGUUUAAAGCAAGCUAACGCUUGAAUACAUUAGCAUGGAAUAAUGAAAUAGGACGAUCGAUCCUAUUUUAUUGGUUUCUAGGAUUGACGUA